This 1263-nucleotide long non-coding RNA is filed under the name Arabidopsis lyrata. Its description in RNAcentral is "long non-coding RNA (ALYR_LNC002918)". Lineage: Eukaryota; Viridiplantae; Streptophyta; Magnoliopsida; Brassicales; Brassicaceae. The record is from RNAcentral.
UCACCAUCCAUCUGCUCCAAUGCCGUCGGAACUGUAACUCAUGUUUGAUCACACCAUUAAAGAUCUCGCCACUGUUCUUAUCCUCUCUCUCUGUUUUUUUGCUUUUCACGAUCUCUGGAAAAUCAUGGAGGAUCUCACCGAGGAUCAGAGGUAGUGACGCAAACCAUGCAUGGAUGAUGCAUCAUAUGCGCCGUUGUCACGACUCACGAGAGCCAGGUUUGUUGCUUCUCGCUUAGUUUCCUAUUUGAUAUCUUGGAACCUUGGAUUUUUAAUUCUUAGCGUAACUUGCUGCACAAAAAAAGGUCUCUUUGAGUUAGGUCAAUCAAUAUUUAGUUUUCUAAACGCAGUUUCAUCGGAGGAACUAGAGUUUGCAAAUUGUAGUAGUUUUACGAAAUUGACCUAACCUGUAGUUUGUCUUGUCCGUUAUCACUUUGUUUCAUAAUUAGUUUUCUUCUUGUUAUUGUAGGUUCCUAUUCUUGAUUCGCCAAAUUAAUCAGUGGGUGCAGCCCCAAGACUGUUUGGUUUCACUGGAAUGAUAGACAACACAUUUUGCUAUUGCUUGGUAACGAAUUUCUAUCCUUUCUUUCUUUUUCCUUUUUAAAAAUUAAUAAUUAUUUAUUUGGUAGUAAAAAUGUUUUUUUCUUAUAGUCGGAUUUUUUCAAAAACUUUUUUGUGUUUGUUUAAAUUUUUUUUUUUAUUGUUUUGGAUACUAAAUUUAUAUAAUGAUAAGAAAACUAACCGGAUUUUGGAUCCAGCAUUAGUCGUUAGUGAUUCCAAACAUUCAACUUGUUUUUCCUAUUAUUAUGUAGAUUUAGCAUUCAAGUUUUUAAUUCGGAUUCUUAAAAAUAGUUUUUGAAAUUUUGAUUUUGUUUCUUUUCGAAUUUUUUUCUUGUAUUUGUUUUGUUUAAAUUUUUUUUAUUGUUUUGGAUACUAGUUACAUAAUGAUAUGAAAACUAACCGGAUUUUGGAUCCAGCAUUAGUCGUUAGCGAUUCCAAACAUUCAACUUGUUUUCCUAUUAUUAUGUAGAUUUAGCAUUCAAAUUUUUGCAAACAAACCACCAAAAAGGUUGGUAGAUAAGUAUGAGGGUUUGCAAUUCUUGAAACGGAUGAAACAAGGAAAGAUUCAGGGGAGCAAAAUUCGAACUAUGUAGGGAGAGAGCAAUGAGUCGUCGGCUUUUAAGAUGGCACUUGAUUCUUUCCCAACGACAACAAUUGCUGUUUCUAGAAAGAUGGACAGAAUCAGGUGAUACCGAGAUCAAAAAG